UACAGAGGGUGCAAGCGUUAAUCGGAAUUACUGGGCGUAAAGCGUGCGCAGAUGGUUGCGUAAGUCAGAUGUGAAAGCCUGGGGCUCAACCCCGGGUCGGCCGUGCGAACUGGGGGGCUGGAGCACUGUAGAGGCAGGCGGAAUUCCGGGUGUAGCGGUGGAAUGCGUAGAGAUCCGGAAGAACACCGGUGGCGAAGGCGGCCUGCUGGGCAGUUGCUGACACUGAGGCGCGACAGCGUGGGGAGCAAACAGG
This 253-nucleotide ribosomal RNA is filed under the name uncultured bacterium. RNAcentral describes it as "partial 16S ribosomal RNA". It matches the Rfam family "Bacterial small subunit ribosomal RNA", at positions 524 to 776 of the family's 1533-position model. The record is from RNAcentral.